Molecule: long non-coding RNA, 1495 nt
Filed under: Homo sapiens (human)
Lineage: Eukaryota; Metazoa; Chordata; Mammalia; Primates; Hominidae
Description: long intergenic non-protein coding RNA 2395
Source: RNAcentral
AGACAGCUGUUUGUCCCCCAGUAUCCUUCAGACAAAGCCAUAUAUGAUUGAAGGUUAUCAGUACUGUGCUUUUGGAGGAUUCAGAAGAAGUUAUAUCUGAUUGGGAGAUUGAAAAGGAUUGGCCUGAAGGAGAGGUGGUUUUUGAACUGCAUCUUAAAGGAUGAGGAAACUGAGGCUGAGAGGGUAGAGAACUUUGCCUGAGGUCACUCAGCAGGGACCCACCCAUCACAGUAAAUGCCAGCACUGCUGAUGCCAAAACAAUGUUAUUUGUAGGCCCUCGGAAUUUGUGACCUGAAGGAAGAAGAGCAGGGCCGUGGGAAGUAUGUAACCAGUGUCAUGCCCCUGGUCCCAAGGAAGCAGUGGCUUGGUAAAGAGGGGACCCCCGUCAAUAACUCCCUGUAAUUACUGGGCACCCACUCUGAGCUCCUCAGUGGAAUCCUAAGGUUAAUAAGACUGUCUCUAGCCACUGGGGCUCCCAGCCUGGAGUGAGUGAGCCCGGUGCCCCCCCGGGCCUCCUCAGUGAGCUGAGGAGGCUCAGCAGUGCCUGCACGUCCCCUCGCCACAAUGUCAUGUGCCACCUCUUCAAAGGAGGGAUGUACCAGCUAGUGGACGUGACCUUGACUGCAAAGGGCGGCACGCAGCUGAUGUAAUGGUCGCUUAAGUGUUCACAAAUGCCUGAACACCCUGUCCUACCUGGUCCUACCUGGAUGCUGGCCUCAGUAAGCUCCUGGGCUCAUUGAAGAUGAACCUAGCAGUAGUAUUUACACCACUUGUUGUGUGCCCACUGUGGGCCCGGCGCCAUGCCGAGUGCUCUAUGGAUGUGAGAUGAGAACACUGAAGCAGUUUUUUCUAAAGAUAGCUGCCUGGCACAGUGGCUCACAUCUGUAGUCCCAGCAUUUGGGGAGGCCAAGGCAGGUGGAUCACUUGAGGCCAGGAAUUCAAGACCAGCAUGGCCAACAUGUGCUGGGAGAGAAAAGCAUACGACAUAGACAGGGAGGUCAAGCUCCACCACGCAGAUGAGGUGCAGGCCACCAGUCUUCCUCUGCCACAUCUCUUUCUGAAAAGGACUUCACAUUCACCCUUGCAAUCCAUGUGGGGACACUGUUGGAUAGGAGGCGUGGUCCCAGCGUGGUCUCCCUGUCUGGGCCUCUGCCUAUGCCAAAUGUUUGCCUUACGCUGCACACUCAAGAGGUUCCAUGUAUACAGAUGGGAAUUCCAGAGCUACAGAAAAGGCAGCAAGCACCAUGAUUUAAGCUAACCAGUGUGGAUUCACACCUUCCUCUCUCUCUAUCAGUGGCAGAACUACCAGCUAGAGUAAGAAGUGGUUGAUCCAGGACCUAAACAUUCUGGAAACUCUUGCCCACUUCUGGGAGAAAUGACCCAAUCCAUAGUACUAAGCACACCUUAACUUUCGUAGGACGCAGGCAAGUUGUCAUACCGUGUGCCUAAAUAUAGAAAAAUGAUCCACUGGACUAAUAAAGUGUUAAAUAAAAUA